This 168-nucleotide microRNA precursor is filed under the name Oryza brachyantha (malo sina). Its description in RNAcentral is "MIR812 microRNA precursor family". It matches the Rfam family "MIR812 microRNA precursor family", at positions 27 to 193 of the family's 205-position model. The record is from Rfam by way of RNAcentral. Lineage: Eukaryota; Viridiplantae; Streptophyta; Magnoliopsida; Poales; Poaceae.
UUUACUUUUAGACUUUUCGUUUUAUUCAAUUUUUUUUGCGAUUGAUAUUUUUGUUUUUAUUAGAUGAUAAAUUAUGAAUAGUACUUUACGUGUGACUAAUUUUUUUCUAAUUUUCUGAAAUUUUUUCAAAUAAGACGGAUGGUUAAACAUUGGACACAGAAACCGAAG